GUAUCUAGUAUGUAUUCAGUUUUCGGGCURGGCAAUUUGGGUUGUAAAGUUCUGCAAAGUCUUUUAUUCUCAUUGUUGUUUAGUUUGUAAAUGCAUUUGCAUACCGAGUGCGCCGAAUCGGUUGAAUUUGCCGUUUGAUAGUUUURUAGAGGACUAACUUGUUGGAACCCUGUAAAACUUUAUGACGGAUGAAUUUGGCUGUCAAAUUGAGUUGGUUUUUCGYGAUAAUAGUUGUGAAUUGGAGUUGUUUUUGUACGAUGCAUGCGUUUUGCAGUUAUGGCUUUARUUCACRUCUCUUAUUGCUCUGCUCUUUAUUCGGUGUUUAGUCAAUCACCUACCUGACCCGUCUUGAAACACGGACCAAGGAGUUUAAGGUGUACGCAAGUCAUUGAUYGUUWAAGUCAYAGGCGUAAUGAAAGUGGGACACUUGGUGUCUGUGAUGUGAGCUUUUUU
RNAcentral lists this ribosomal RNA (453 nucleotides) under Aphelenchoides ritzemabosi. RNAcentral describes it as "eukaryotic LSU rRNA". The record is from RNAcentral. Lineage: Eukaryota; Metazoa; Nematoda; Chromadorea; Rhabditida; Aphelenchoididae.